UACGUAGGGGGCAAGCGUUAUCCGGAUUUACUGGGUGUAAAGGGAGCGUAGACGGCUGUGCAAGUCUGAAGUGAAAGGCAAGGGCUCAACCUUUGGACUGCUUUGGAAACUGUGCAGCUAGAGUGUCGGAGAAGCAAGUGGAAUUCCUAGUGUAGCGGUGAAAUGCGUAGAUAUUAGGAGGAACACCAGCGGCGAAGGCGGCUUGCUGGACGAUGACUGACGUUGAGGCUCGAAAGCGUGGGGAGCAAACAGG
This 253-nucleotide ribosomal RNA is filed under the name uncultured bacterium. RNAcentral describes it as "partial 16S ribosomal RNA". It matches the Rfam family "Bacterial small subunit ribosomal RNA", at positions 524 to 776 of the family's 1533-position model. The record is from RNAcentral.